This is a long non-coding RNA of Gallus gallus (chicken), 1920 nucleotides long. The record is from Ensembl. NCBI's taxonomy places the organism in Eukaryota, Metazoa, Chordata, Aves, Galliformes, Phasianidae.
AGGGGAGGGAGAGGCAGCAGCUCCAUAUUAAUGGGUUCCUUAAAGAGCAGCCUGGCACAGGUGGGAAAGUGUCAGUACAUCUAAUUGUUGCUCAUAGGUAAACAGCUCCAGAUCUCUGAUGAACCUUUCUACCCUUUCCUGAAACUCUUCUAUUCCAAGACCAACUUUUUGAGAUGAUAGCACUGAUGUGCAAGCAAGCCACAAGUUCUACAAGGCUAUUGUGUCUGGAGCUAAGAUCCAGGUCUCAUCCCAAGGACUACUCAAGAAUCACAGUGGUGGGAAUUAAGCUCAGGGUGUUCCUUAUCCCAUCACAGCUGGAUGAGUUCUAGCUAUUUACCAAAUGGAAAGGACAAGCAGCUUAAGGAAUUCAGAGCUCCAACACUCCAAUAAGAAAAUUGCAUCUCUGUGCAUGUGCUGAAGCAGCAGGGGUGAGCUGGCCAUAGCAGUUAACCUUCACUCUACAUUCUGGAUCACAGUUAGGUGGGAGCAGAAAAUAACCACUCUCUUCUGAUUUUGCAGAGCACAUUCAAGUAUUCUGGUUGCAGUAUUCCUUCAGCCACUCAUCUCUAGAGAAUAUACCAUAGAAAUAGAGAAAUAUUUUUAUCUUUUACAUUUUAUGAGGCAUGAUGUGUGAGCCACUGUUUGAGGCAGAAUAAUGCUCCAAUGUACAUAUGGCCUGAAAAGAUGUAGCCAUGAAUACCUCUGUGUAUAAGAAGGGUUAUAGCACCUGGAUACAGCAAAAUUCUCCUACUGUUAGUGUUCCCUGGGCACACAGCCAAAAUACAUCAGCCAUGUGCUGAGUGAAUAUUGAAACAUUCCCAGUACAUCCCACAGCAUCACCAGUAAUCUCAUAUCUGUGCUGUGUCGUGACAGUAAGUUUUUCAGUAUAGCUCACCCGACCUAUAAACAUUUCUACCAACUGAGAACACAGGUGUUGCAAUGAAAUAUUUGACAACCUUUGCAGCAAAUAAGUUGAUACUCUAAUUUCUUAUAAAAAUCUAUGGAGUGUCAGAAGAAGUUUUGGGAUCAUUUAAAUUUUAAUGUGUUUUGAAAAAAUGGAGUCAUUUCAAGGCACUAGAGGGCUUUCGGGCUUAUUACAUUAGACUGCAAAGACUAAUCAUCAGCACGUAAAACUAUUGUUAAUUCAGAAGUUCAUAAAAAAAGAAGAAAAUUUAAGGUUAAAAAUAUCACUACUGCACUGGAUGACAUUGUUCCACUGAAAGUAGGUCUCGUUAAAGAAACCUGUUAUAUUUUUGAUGGGAUUUGUCUGGUUGAUAAAGAAAUUCACUAUGGUAUAACCUACUUUGAUUUCACUAGAUCUAAACUAGAUGACUCCCAGAUUGGAGCUGCUGCCAUAGAAAGGAACAGAAAGACUCAUCCUACAUCAAUUAAAAACUGUUUCAGUACGUCAAAAAGCAAGGCAAGAGUUGGGUAUGUUUUGAUAACAGUGGAGCUUUACCUCCAGACUGCCUGGAAAAUCAAAUAUGGUUGGAUUGGAGGAAGAUUGCUAGCACUGACUUUCAGCCACAUAUCCAUGGCAUUGCUCUGUGCCACUUCACAAAGUUACAGCUGGAAAAGUGUAAGAGUGGCAGAGUUGGCAGCCUCCAGAGCAUGAUGGUUUUCCUUAGCCACAGUGUGACAUUUCUUCUGCAUACCAAUUGAGGAAGCAGGCACACUGGUAAGUUUCUUUUUCUCGACUAGUAUAUAUGCUUAUUCAUAGACAUAGAAUCAUAGAGUUAUAGAAUCUUUUGAAUUUAUAGAAUCAUGGGAUCAUUUGAGUUUGAAGGGACCCUUAAAGGCCAUCUAACCCAACUCCCCUGAAAUAAACAGGGACACCUACAGCUUGAUCAGGUUGCUCAGAGCCCCAUUUAACCCGGCCUUGAGUGUCUCCAAAGACAAGGCAUCCAUCACCAGCCUGGG